AUGGCUCCGCCACAGUUGCUCGGGUGCUGCGAGUGCGAUUCCGCGUCAGCCGAGCUUAACUAGAGGAUUUGGAUGGAUAGAGGUGGGAAUUGAAUAGAAUUCGACGGAAUUGGGGAAGGAACAGCAUGAACUCAAGAAGUCCCAUAUCAUUCUCGUCUGCCUCGUUCAGAGUUGGAAAAGGUCGUAUUCACCCCGACCUAAGGUUAAUUGGAUUCGUGCGAUUGCAGCUAUGUAAGUUUGGAUGACUGUUACGGAGUAUUAAAUUUUGUAUAUUUGGAUAUUUUCUAUGAUCGUCACGGCCUUAUACCCACCUGCACGAGCUCGUAUUUGCAUAUUGCCACUUAUGCGCCAAAUGGACGUGUAUGAUCUGCAGAUCCAGCCGAGUUGAGUUCAGGCGACUAAUAGCGGCGGUGGGUGCCGGCCUCCCUUGCUCAGCUCAGCUCUGCAGGUACUCCCUUGCAUUGCACCUUCAAGUUCCCAGCCCUGGGAAUUGGCGACAGCCUAAUGAAGGCCUCACCGUCGGCAAGCAGGAGCAGGGCUCAGCUGAGCCUUACCUCUCGUUGACUGCCCUUAAUGCCGGAUUUCUGUGAAAAAGGAGUCAUUGAAUUGGAUGUUCUACAAGUGUCCUAAUAACUUUUAGGUUAGUUUGUUUCAAUUGAAUGGUGGAUGUGUUUGUUCUUGAUUUGGUCCAUUUUCUGAUUUUGCAAUGUUUGUCUCAGAAUGACGACACAUGUGCAUAAUUUCCAAAUACCUGAAGAACAUGAAGUUGUGGCAGAUGGAGUGGAUGGGACUGUUUAGAUGAGGCAACAAAUGUUUGAGGUGAGACAACAUAUAUGGGAAAUGAAGUUGAAGAUGUGAGAGCUGAAGCAACGGUGCAGGUGAAGAAGGUUUUUUAGUGUGCAAUGAAACUCAUUGUUCUAUUUUUAUGUAUUGUGCUUGGCAAACUCAUUCAACUUUGGACAUGAACAUUCACAUCUCGACUCCAAGUCUCCAAUUGAGGCAAAUUUGGCGUCCAAAU
RNAcentral lists this long non-coding RNA (1018 nucleotides) under Setaria italica (foxtail millet). Its description in RNAcentral is "long non-coding RNA (SITA_LNC002201)". The record is from RNAcentral. Lineage: Eukaryota; Viridiplantae; Streptophyta; Magnoliopsida; Poales; Poaceae.